Molecule: unclassified non-coding RNA, 301 nt
Organism: Myotis lucifugus (little brown bat)
Lineage: Eukaryota; Metazoa; Chordata; Mammalia; Chiroptera; Vespertilionidae
Gene: 7SK
Rfam family: 7SK RNA
About the family: 7SK was discovered as an abundant small nuclear RNA in the mid-70s but a possible function has only recently been suggested. Two independent studies have found that 7SK RNA binds the CDK9/cyclin T complex (known as elongation factor P-TEFb).
Source: Ensembl
GGAUGUGAGGGCGAUCUGGCUGCGACAUCUGUCACCCCAUUGAUCGCCAGGGUUGAUUCGGCUGAUCUGGCUGGCUAGGCGGGUGUCCCCCUCCUCCCUCACCGAUCCAUGUGCGUCCCUCCCGAAGCUGCGCGCUCGGUCGAAGAGGACGACCUUCCCCCCCGAGGAGAGGACCGGUCUUCGGUCAAGGGUAUACGAGUAGCUGCGCUCCCCUGCUAGAACCUCCAAACAAGCUCUCAAGAAGUGUAAGUGAGCACCAUUGCCUAGUUGAGUAGUGAUAACAGUGCAUUCGCACAUCUGC